GAUGAAGAACGUAGCAAAAUGCGAUAAGUAAUGUGAAUUGCAGAAUUCAGUGAAUCAUCGAAUCUUUGAACGCACAUUGCGCCCGCCAGUAUUCUGGCGGGCAUGCCUGUUCGAGCGUCAUUUCAACCCUCAAGCACAGCUUGGUGUUGGGACUCGCGUUAAUUCGCGUUCCCCAAAUUGAUUGGCGGUCACGUCGAGCUUCCAUAGCGUAGUAGUAAAACCCUCGUUACUGGUAAUCGUCUCGGCCACGCCGUUAAACCCCAACUUCUGAAUGUUGACCUCGGAUCAGGUAGGAAUACCCGCUGAACUUAAGCAUAUCAAUAAGCGGAGGA
Molecule: unclassified non-coding RNA, 332 nt
Filed under: soil metagenome
Description: partial contains 5.8S ribosomal RNA, internal transcribed spacer 2, and large subunit ribosomal RNA
Rfam family: 5.8S ribosomal RNA (bases 1-120)
Source: RNAcentral